GAUGGUAUAGCUCAGUGGUAUAGUGGAGUGUGUGCUUAGCAUGCACAAGGUCCUGGGUUCAAUCCCCAGUACCUCCA
This 77-nucleotide transfer RNA is filed under the name Camelus bactrianus (Bactrian camel). It matches the Rfam family "tRNA". From Rfam's summary of the family: Transfer RNA (tRNA) molecules are approximately 80 nucleotides in length. Their secondary structure includes four short double-helical elements and three loops (D, anti-codon, and T loops). Further hydrogen bonds mediate the characteristic L-shaped molecular structure. tRNAs have two regions of fundamental functional importance: the anti-codon, which is responsible for specific mRNA codon recognition, and the 3' end, to which the tRNAs corresponding amino acid is attached (by aminoacyl-tRNA synthetases). tRNAs cope with the degeneracy of the genetic code in two manners: having more than one tRNA (with a specific anti-codon) for a particular amino acid; and 'wobble' base-pairing, i.e. permitting non-standard base-pairing at the 3rd anti-codon position. RNAcentral also lists the same sequence under 2 other names. The record is from Rfam by way of RNAcentral. Lineage: Eukaryota; Metazoa; Chordata; Mammalia; Artiodactyla; Camelidae.